ACAGUCACACAUUAGAUACCCGGUAGUCCAUGCCGUAAACGAUGUCGCGUUAGGUGUAUCGACGACCACGAGUCGUCGAGGUGCCGAAGGGAAACCGUGAAACGUACCGCCUGGGAGUACGGUCGCAAGGCUGAAACUUAAAGGAAUUGGCGGGGAGCACCACAACAGGUGGAGCCUGCGGUUUAAUUGGACUCAACGCCGGAAAUCUCACCGGAUAGGACAGCAGAAUGAUUGCCGGGCUGAAGACUCUGCAUGACUAGCUG
RNAcentral lists this ribosomal RNA (263 nucleotides) under uncultured archaeon. RNAcentral's name for it is "partial 16S ribosomal RNA". It matches the Rfam family "Archaeal small subunit ribosomal RNA", at positions 719 to 982 of the family's 1478-position model. The record is from RNAcentral.